RNAcentral lists this ribosomal RNA (254 nucleotides) under uncultured bacterium. RNAcentral's name for it is "partial 16S ribosomal RNA". It matches the Rfam family "Bacterial small subunit ribosomal RNA", at positions 524 to 776 of the family's 1533-position model. The record is from RNAcentral.
UACGUAGGGUGCGAGCGUUGUCCGGAAUUAUUGGGCGUAAAGAGCUCGUAGGCGGUCUGUCGCGUCGGUCGUGAAAACUUGGGGCUUAACCCUGAGCUUGCGGUCGAUACGGGCAUGACUGGAGUUCGGCAGGGGAGACUGGAAUUCCUGGUGUAGCGGUGAAAUGCGCAGAUAUCAGGAGGAACACCGGUGGCGAAGGCGGGUCUCUGGGCCGGUACUGACACUGAGGAGCGAAAGCGUGGGUAGCAAACAGG